UGUGGAAGGUAGAAUGGAAAUUGCAACAACAAAAUCUUAAUUCUAAUAAAACACUAACAAUGCUAAAUAAGCUUUAAUUAAAUUCAAAGAAACCUCAAAGGAAUUCCAAAGAAACAAUAAGGAAUCUUAAAGAAAUAUUAGAAUGAUUACAAACAUAUCUCAAAUAUAUCUCAAUUCAAUCUUAAUUUAAUUCUAGUUGAAAUCUUACUUCAUUCAAACUUUAGGCCAAAAACUAACUAAAUCUUAUAUCUUAAAUAAAAUCAAAUAAAAUCCUAAAUCCUAAAUCAAAUCCUAAUCAAACCCUAAUUCCUAAAAUAAAUUCUAACCAAAUCCUAAAUCCUAAUCUUAAAUCAAAUCCUAAUCAAACUCUAACCAAAUCCUAAUCAAAUCCUAAUCCUAAAUCAAACCUUAACCAAAUCUUAACCAAAUAUUAACUCUAAAUCAAACCGCAAUCAAAUCUUAAAUCCUAAAUCAAAUCUUAAUUCUAAAUCAAAUCUUAAUUCUAAAUCAAAUCCUAAUC
Molecule: long non-coding RNA, 520 nt
Filed under: Physcomitrium patens
Lineage: Eukaryota; Viridiplantae; Streptophyta; Bryopsida; Funariales; Funariaceae
Description: long non-coding RNA (PPAT_LNC014439)
Source: RNAcentral